GACGAACGCUGGCGGCGUGCUUAACACAUGCAAGUCGAACGGAAAGGCCCUGCUUUUGUGGGGUGCUCGAGUGGCGAACGGGGGAGUAACACGUGAGUAACCUGCCCUUGACUUUGGGAUAACUCCAGGAAACUGGGGCUAAUACCGGAUAGGAGCUCUUGAUGCAUGGGGGGGGUUGGAAAGUUUCGGCGGUUGGGGAUGGACUCGCGGCUUAUCAGCUUGUUGGGGGGGUAGGGGCUUACCAAGGUUUCGACGGGUAGCCGGCCUGGGAGGGUGACCGGCCACAAUGGGACUGAGGUACGGCCCAGACUCCUACGUGAGGCAGCAGUGGGGAAUCUUGCGCAACGGGCGGAAGUCUGAUGCAGCAACGCCGCGUGCGUGAUGCCGGCCUUCGAGUUGUAAACCGCUGUCGCCUGUGACGAAGCGUGAGUGACGGUAAUGGGUAAAGAAGCACCGGCUAACUACGUG
This 468-nucleotide ribosomal RNA is filed under the name uncultured bacterium. RNAcentral's name for it is "partial 16S ribosomal RNA". It matches the Rfam family "Bacterial small subunit ribosomal RNA", at positions 28 to 507 of the family's 1533-position model. The record is from RNAcentral.